AUCGCUUCUCGGCCUUUUGGCUAAGAUCAAGUGUAGUAUCUGUUCUUCUCAGUUUAAUAUGGACUAGGGAGAGAGCAUUCAGUGCUUGUCAUUCUUUGACUGGAUUAUUUCACUUGAUGUAAUCAAAUUUUU
RNAcentral lists this small nuclear RNA (132 nucleotides) under Ochotona princeps (American pika). RNAcentral's name for it is "U2 spliceosomal RNA (ENSOPRG00000021256.1)". It matches the Rfam family "U2 spliceosomal RNA", at positions 1 to 134 of the family's 192-position model. From Rfam's summary of the family: U2 is a small nuclear RNA (snRNA) component of the spliceosome (involved in pre-mRNA splicing). Complementary binding between U2 snRNA (in an area lying towards the 5' end but 3' to hairpin I) and the branchpoint sequence (BPS) of the intron results the bulging out of an unpaired adenosine, on the BPS, which initiates a nucleophilic attack at the intronic 5' splice site, thus starting the first of two transesterification reactions that mediate splicing. Lineage: Eukaryota; Metazoa; Chordata; Mammalia; Lagomorpha; Ochotonidae. The record is from RNAcentral.